AUGAACGCUGGCGGCGUGCCUAAUACAUGCAAGUCGAGCGAACAGACGAGGAGCUUGCUCCUCUGACGUUAGCGGCGGACGGGUGAGUAACACGUGGAUAACCUACCUAUAAGACUGGGAUAACUUCGGGAAACCGGAGCUAAUACCGGAUAAUAUAUUGAAACGCAUGGAUCAAUAGUGAAAGACGGUUUUGCUGUCACUUAUAGAUGGAUCCGCGCCGCAUUAGCUAGUUGGUAAGGUAACGGCUUACCAAGGCGACGAUGCGUAGCCGACCUGAGAGGGUGAUCGGCCACACUGGAACUGAGACACGGUCCAGACUCCUACGGGAGGCAGCAGUAGGGAAUCUUCCGCAAUGGGCGAAAGCCUGACGGAGCAACGCCGCGUGAGUGAUGAAGGUCUUCGGAUCGUAAAACUCUGUUAUUAGGGAAGAACAAAUGUGUAAGUAACUAUGCACGUCUUGACGGUACCUAAUCAGAAAGCCACGGCUAACUACGUG
This 496-nucleotide ribosomal RNA is filed under the name uncultured bacterium. RNAcentral's name for it is "partial 16S ribosomal RNA". It matches the Rfam family "Bacterial small subunit ribosomal RNA", at positions 29 to 507 of the family's 1533-position model. The record is from RNAcentral.